Molecule: ribosomal RNA, 405 nt
Filed under: uncultured Acidovorax sp.
Lineage: Bacteria; Pseudomonadati; Pseudomonadota; Betaproteobacteria; Burkholderiales; Comamonadaceae
Description: bacterial SSU rRNA
Rfam family: Bacterial small subunit ribosomal RNA
Source: RNAcentral
ACCUUUGACAUGUACGGAAUCCUUUAGAGAUAGAGGAGUGCUCGAAAGAGAACCGUAACACAGGUGCUGCAUGGCUGUCGUCAGCUCGUGUCGUGAGAUGUUGGGUUAAGUCCCGCAACGAGCGCAACCCUUGUCAUUAGUUGCUACAUUCAGUUGGGCACUCUAAUGAGACUGCCGGUGACAAACCGGAGGAAGGUGGGGAUGACGUCAAGUCCUCAUGGCCCUUAUAGGUGGGGCUACACACGUCAUACAAUGGAUGGUACAAAGGGUCGCCAACCCGCGAGGGGGAGCCAAUCCCAUAAAGCCAUUCGUAGUCCGGAUCGCAGUCUGCAACUCGACUGCGUGAAGUCGGAAUCGCUAGUAAUCGUGGAUCAGAAUGUCACGGUGAAUACGUUCCCGGGUCUU